Schistocerca piceifrons (Central American locust) is the source of this 1358-nucleotide long non-coding RNA. RefSeq lists it as uncharacterized. Lineage: Eukaryota; Metazoa; Arthropoda; Insecta; Orthoptera; Acrididae. The transcript has 3 exons. The record is from RefSeq and is a predicted model, not a curated record.
UUUGUACUGUCAGUAACACAAUUUUAUUCCAAUGUUAUGACAACGAGAUGUCGAGAGCCUGUUUAAUGGAAAUAUCAGUUGUAAAAGCUAUCAUUGUUAUAUGUUAUGAACAAACAUUCGUCCUUGGAAUUCAAGAGACGGCUUAUGAUACAGAAUAUAUAAUAAAAUUGAAGGAAUAAACAGACGCACUAGCUUUCUGUAAGGACUGGUAUAAUUUUAAAGGUGGUACUAUCAGAAUGAGGAGUGCUCGUUUCAGUGGAGAAUAAAUUGUAUUUAUUUCGUGCACAGACUCCACCAGAAAGUAUCACGGAAGAUUUAUGAUAGCUUUACUAACACGCGUAUAUGAAGAGGGGUAGUCACUUUUUUUUUUUCUAGGUCUGUAAAUAGCCUGCGAAGGUUAACAAGUCAUUUGUGCCGGAUGCACCAGUAAUUUUGUAUGUGGCGCUUUUUGAGCACGAGUCACUAUAAUGUUGCUGCCUUAGCCUGAAAACUGUUCGGAUGCAUCUAUCUGCACUAGUCUUCCAUGUGCAAACCUCUGUACCGCAAUGUAACUUCUGUGAGGUUCAUCCUCAUUAAGUUCUUUUUUCCGAUAUUUUAAUACUAUAGUUAGAUGUUCAGUAUAGUUAUAUAAAUUUAAACACUCUUCUGUAGCAAUAUAUUCCAAAAUCUUCUUUUUUGUCCGCACCUUUCAUCGACAUUUUACUUCUGUCCUAGCUCUCAAAUCUAGUGACAGCACAUGAUUUGAUUAGACUAUAUUCAUUUACACGUGGUUUUCUUAAAUUUUGUCGAUCUUCUCAUUUUUCAGACACUUAUUCUUUAUUGCUUAUUAGUUUUCCUCUGCUGCCUUCACUAUUUCAUCAUUUAAAGCUAUCCUUUCAUCUACUGUUUUAUUUCUUACGCCUGCCAGUCACUGCUUAAUGUUCCCUCUGAACACUAGCGCUGUUACAUCUUGUACAGUUCCCAUUUCAUUAGCUUACUACUUCACGCAAUUCUCAGCCUUUAAUCACCACAUUUUAAGAGCGUAUUUUAUAUUCCAACGACAUUGGCAGAGUUAAGUUGUCAGCGAUAAGUCAGGCUGAAAGCUCACAACCACACUUGCCACAUUCAUUUAUGUACUUUGUUCCAAAAAUCCCAGGAUGGAAAGAAUUACGGAUGCAUGCAACAGCAGCCAUAACACUGGUAAUUUUAUCACCUGUGACUUGGUCACACAACCAGGACUUUAAGCUGGUGGUUCAUCAGGGUUAUUGAUGGAUUUGGCAGCAAAUGAAAAGGCUGUACAUGCAGAUUUCUUUAAUGAUUUUGAGGAUCUGUACGAUGACGAAGAUCUACAGUGACCAUUCAAACAAAUGUGCUUGUGU